Felis catus (domestic cat) is the source of this 894-nucleotide long non-coding RNA. RefSeq lists it as uncharacterized. The record is from RefSeq and is a predicted model, not a curated record. The transcript has 3 exons. NCBI's taxonomy places the organism in Eukaryota, Metazoa, Chordata, Mammalia, Carnivora, Felidae.
UAAAAUGCGAUCCCGGUGAAUUCUGUAGGUCACACAUAAAUGGCCAAUUUAUGAGGUUUCCACUGGCUGAGGCCUGGUGAGAAGGCUGCAUGCGGUGUGAGUCCCACGGUCUAAUACUUGGCCCUGUGUAUGUGGCCCUGCUUAGAGAGAGUCUGAGCUGUAAUUAAGGAUCUCGACACGAGAUCUUCCCGGAUAAUCUGGGUGGGCCCUAAAUCCAGUAUUUGUCCUUGUAGGAGGUGGAAGAGGGGAAGAUUCAGACACAGAGAAGGCCGUAUGGAGGUGGAGGCAGAGACGCGGGGAAAGAACCCCCUGGUGCCUCCAGAAGCUAGAAGAACGGGAAGGCUUCUGCCCCUGGCAGGAAUGCUGUCCUGCCAGACUUCUGGUCUCCAGAACUGUGAGAGAAGACCGUUCUGUUAUUUUAAGCCACCCAGUUGGUGUUAUUUGCUGCGGCCGCCCCAGGAAACGCAUGCAGUUUCUAAGGGUCAGGAUCUGGGAGUGGCAUAGCCAGGUGGUUCCAGCUCCAAGGUCUCUUAGGAGGUUACCGUCAGGAUGCUGGCCAGAACCACGGUCAUCUGAAACCCGCCUGGGGCUGGACGGUCUGUGUCCAAGGUGGCCUAGGCAUAUGGCGUUGGAAGGAAGCGUUGGCUCACGGCUGGUUUUGGCCAGCAGUCUCGGUUCUUCACCAUGUGCGCCUCUCGAUGGGACUGUCGGCUUCUGUCACAGACAGAGAAACACAGAGAGAGCGAACGAGAGAGGGUUCUGGAGCCCGGGGCGCCCAAGAUCGGGGUUCCAUCUUGCUCAAGUGUUGGUGAGGACUCGCUUCCUGGCUUGGAGCUGGCUGCCUUCGUGAUAUAUUUUUACACAGCAGACAGAGAUAAAGAGCUAGCUCUCUGG